RNAcentral lists this ribosomal RNA (655 nucleotides) under uncultured bacterium. RNAcentral describes it as "bacterial SSU rRNA". It matches the Rfam family "Bacterial small subunit ribosomal RNA", at positions 70 to 740 of the family's 1533-position model. The record is from RNAcentral.
GACGGAGAGCUUGCUCUCCUGAUCAGUGGCGAACGGGUGAGUAACACGUGGGCAACCUGCCUCUCGCUCCGGGAUAACUUCGGGAAACCGAUGCUAAUACCGGAUACGACCUAAUGCGACAUCGCAUUUGGUGGAAAGAAUUUCGGCGAGAGAUGGGCCCGCGGCCUAUCAGCUAGUUGGUGAGGUAAAAGCUCACCAAGGCGACGACGGGUAGCCGGCCUGAAAGGGCGACCGGCCACACUGGGACUGAGACACGGCCCAGACUCCUACGGGAGGCAGCAGUGGGGAAUAUUGCACAAUGGGCGAAAGCCUGAUGCAGCGACGCCGCGUGAGGGAUGAAUGCCUUCGGGUUGUAAACCUCUUUCAGCAGGGACGAAGCGAAAGUGACGGUACCUGCAGAAGAAGCACCGGCUAACUACGUGCCAGCAGCCGCGGUAAUACGUAGGGUGCAAGCAUUGUCCGGAUUUAUUGGGCGUAAAGAGCUCGUAGGCGGUUUGUCGCGUCGGAUGUGAAACCUCGGGGCUCAACCCCGAGCCUGCAUUCGAUACGGACAGACUAGAGUGUUGCAGGGGAGACUGGAAUUCCUGGUAUAGCGGUGAAAUGCGCAGAUAUCAGGAGGAACACCGGUGGCGAAGGCGGGUCUCUGGGCAACAAC